This 126-nucleotide microRNA precursor is filed under the name Nicotiana sylvestris (wood tobacco). RNAcentral's name for it is "mir-166 microRNA precursor family". It matches the Rfam family "mir-166 microRNA precursor family". From Rfam's summary of the family: This family represents the plant microRNA (miRNA) precursor mir-166. The record is from Rfam by way of RNAcentral. RNAcentral also lists the same sequence under 1 other name. Lineage: Eukaryota; Viridiplantae; Streptophyta; Magnoliopsida; Solanales; Solanaceae.
AUUGUGGGGAAUGUUGUUUGGCUCGAGGAUUCAAUUUCUUACUUUCUUUUAUAGAUCUGUAUAUAUGGAUCUAUAAUAUAGGAUUAUGUCUUUGGUAUCGUCGGACCAGGCUUCAUUCCCCUCAAA